This 2064-nucleotide long non-coding RNA is filed under the name Gallus gallus (chicken). The record is from RNAcentral. Lineage: Eukaryota; Metazoa; Chordata; Aves; Galliformes; Phasianidae.
GUAAACAUCACGUCUGCCCCCAACGAGUCUCCCUCCUUCCCUCCCCUUGCAAAUUCCUCUUGCAAACGUAACCUGUGCCGGAGCGAGUGGAAAAAGGAGUUUAUUGCCUCCCCGAGUAACUGGGUUGCGAUCACGGGCAAAAUUUGCUGCUCUAGGGAUGGGGAAGUGGAUGAUUCCUAUUCCUCUCUGGGUAAAAUAAGUAAAGACAGACAGAUAGAUAGACAUAUAGACAGACAGACAGAUAGAUUGAUGAAAAGCCUGAUUUUUUUCAAGGCGCUGAACUAUGAUGUUGGAUAGUGAGACCAUCUGAGAUGUCUUACCCCCAGCUCUGUGCUGUUCAGCCACUCAUGGGAAGGAGAUAAGGGGUCUGAAAUAUCUAAAUGGACACUAAAAGGCAUGGGCAGGAUUAAGGGCUGAAGGUUUCCAGUGUGCUCGUGGAGGGGAGGGAAGCAAAGAGUUUCCAGAGAUGAAAAGACAGAGCAAUACCCCGAGCUGAGAAGUAUGUCUGGAUGCUCCUGGGUGUGCUGCCUUCCCCUCCAAUGGAUGCAACAAACUCAAAUCCAAGUGGGCAUUAAAGGAAAACAGCCCAUGGCAAUGAAAUCCUGCCUCCCUCAUUGUCCACCAGAGUUUUGUCUUGGACUUCAAGGGAGAUGGGAACUCGCCCUCAGAGGUUAUUAAAAUCCUUUGUAAUAACAGCGCUUCUCCAGUAACCCUUUACAGCAGGCAUACGCUGGGGUUGCUAUAGCAGACAGAAUGGGAAAACGCAUUUCAGAUGGCAGAGCAAACACCCAGGAAUAUUCCUUCUCCCCUCCACUAUUGCUUCCUUAAUUGGGGCACCAAGGCAAAAAGCUCUGGUAGGGACAAAUCCAGAGCUGGGGCUCAGGUGAGACAUAUUUGCCCCAAGUUAAUGAAUGGCAUUGGGGACCCCCUUUGGGGGGUUCAGAUCAGAUAUAAAGAAACAUUUCUACUUAGAAAGAGUGGCAAUGCAUUGGCACAGGCUGCACAGGGAGGUGUUGGAGUCAUCAUCCCUGGAGGUGUUCAAGAACCAUGGAGAUGUGGCACUUGGGGACAUGGUCAGUGGGCAUGGUGGGAUGGGCUGGGGUUGGACUUGAUGAUCUUAGAGUUCUUUUCCAACUUUAACUCACCUGUGACUUGGGGAUGUCAGUGAGUACUUUUCAGGAGGCAGGCUUUUCUGCUUGUUUUGUCGUUGGCUUUCUUGUGGGGUGGGCUUCCCAUUGGAAACCACCGCAAAGACCACAUGAACAGCCCGGAGCGGUGUCUGAAGUGGAGAACUGAAGGGAAACCCAUUUACUGCAAUUAAUAUCGCUGCUAAAACAAGUCAUGCCCCGGAGAUAGAGAGGACCCUUGUAAGAAUUUGAGUUUGUUUGUUGCUUUGUUUAUUUGUAUGGAGCGAAGAAGAAAAUGGAGGGGAUGGGAGAAUCUCUGAGAGCCUUUUUUCCCUCCGGGCUGCUCUACAGUGAUGGGGCUGUGUGUUUAUAAAGCCGCUCCGUGAGCUCCAGGUGCCCGAGGACUUGGAAGAAGUGAGAGGCAGAGUUAAUGAGGUGAGAAGGAAAGCAGAAGGGAAAGAGCAGAACGCAUUUGUUGCAACAGAUCAGCCUGAAACAUCUGCAGGGCACGGGCACCUGCGUUGGUAGGGAAAUGUAGGUUUUUAGUUCGUAAAAGGGAAAAAAAAAAAAAACUCUGGAGAAAAGGAAGGGAGAGAUGGAGAGUGAGAUUUGGGCACGUCUUAAGAUUUAUCUUCUUUUUAUUUUUUCCCCUUCUUCCCAAAACCUUAUAGAGAGGGGGAAAUAAAGCGAAGCAGCGAACGCAGCCUUGCCGCACGCAGGGUUAAAUGGAAACACACAAUCAGACCAUAACUCAGGGUGUAAUUCAAGCCAUACGUUUUGUCUGUCUGUUGCCUCGAAAGGUUGUAUCAAGGCUUGGCGAGGGAGGGGAUAAUCCAAACUUCGUCGUGAUUCAUAAACCACUCCUUGGCGAUUUGGAUCAUAGAUCUCUUUCACGGCGACUCGCCCAACCUCAGAGCUAACCGUGGCUCCAUGCUCU